CAUGUACUCCCUCCGUCCGGAAAUGGAUGUAUCUAGACGUAUUUUAGUUUUAGAUACAUCCAUUUUUAUCCAUUUCUCUGACAAGUAUUUCCGGACGGAGGGAGUAUCAC
Non-coding RNA from Triticum aestivum (bread wheat), 110 nucleotides. The record is from Rfam. NCBI's taxonomy places the organism in Eukaryota, Viridiplantae, Streptophyta, Magnoliopsida, Poales, Poaceae.